ACUUGGAUAGCUUAUAUAAGAGCGUGAUAUUGAAGAUAUCAAGGAAACCUAAGGUUUUCAAGUA
RNAcentral lists this transfer RNA (64 nucleotides) under Epicauta impressicornis. RNAcentral's name for it is "tRNA-Phe". The record is from RNAcentral. Lineage: Eukaryota; Metazoa; Arthropoda; Insecta; Coleoptera; Meloidae.